AACGCACCUUGCGCCCCUUGGCAUUCCGAGGGGCACACCCGUUUGAGUGUCGUGAAAUUCUCAAAAACCCUUCCUUUGGUGGAAAGGAUUUUGGACUUGGAGGCCUUUUGCUGGUUUCACCUUGAAGCGAGCUCCUCCCAAAUGGAUUAGUGGGGUCUGCUUUGCCGGUCCUAGACGUGAUAAGAUGUUUCUACGUCUUGGGUUUCUGCACUGUACCUCUGCUUCUAACCGUCUCAUUGACAAUGAUGGUGUUCCGGUCACCGCCGAUUUAUCGGUUGGGAGGCUUGACCCACAAAACGACCUUGACCUCAAAUCGGGUGAGACUACCCGCUGAACUUAA
Molecule: unclassified non-coding RNA, 340 nt
Filed under: Hyaloscypha sp.
Lineage: Eukaryota; Fungi; Ascomycota; Leotiomycetes; Helotiales; Hyaloscyphaceae
Also listed under: 1 other name
Description: partial contains 5.8S ribosomal RNA, internal transcribed spacer 2, and large subunit ribosomal RNA
Source: RNAcentral